Molecule: ribosomal RNA, 432 nt
Filed under: uncultured bacterium
Lineage: Bacteria
Description: partial 16S ribosomal RNA
Rfam family: Bacterial small subunit ribosomal RNA
Source: RNAcentral
CCUACGGGUGGCAGCAGUGGGGAAUCUUGGACAAUGGGCGCAAGCCUGAUCCAGCCAUGCCGCGUGGAUGAUGAAGGCCUUAGGGUUGUAAAAUCCUUUCGUUGGGGACGCGGUACCCAAAGAAGAAGCCCCGGCUAACUUCGUGCCAGCAGCCGCGGUAAUACGAAGGGGGCUAGCGUUGUUCGGAUUUACUGGGCGUAAAGCGCGUGUAGGCGGAUCGUUAAGUUGGGGGUGAAAUCCCGAGGCUCAACCUCGGAACUGCCUUCAAAACUGGCGAUCUGGACUCAAGUAGAGGCAAGUGGAAUUGCGAGUGUAGAGGUGAAAUUCGUAGAUAUUCGCAGGAACACCAGUGGCGAAGGCGACUUGCUGGACUUGUGUGACGCUGAGACGCGAAAGCGUGGGGAGCAAACAGGAUUAGAUACCCUUGUAGUC